Molecule: ribosomal RNA, 253 nt
Filed under: uncultured bacterium
Lineage: Bacteria
Description: partial 16S ribosomal RNA
Rfam family: Bacterial small subunit ribosomal RNA
Source: RNAcentral
UACGUAGGGGGCAAGCGUUGUCCGGAUUUAUUGGGCGUAAAGCGCGUGUAGGCGGCCAGAUAGGUCUGCUGUGAAAACUCGAGGCUCAACCUCGAGCUGUCGGCGGAAACCAUCUGGCUAGAGUCCGGAAGAGGAGAGUGGAAUUCCUGGUGUAGCGGUGAAAUGCGCAGAUAUCAGGAAGAACACCGAUGGCGAAGGCAGCUCUCUGGGACGGUACUGACGCUGAGACGCGAAAGCGUGGGGAGCGAACAGG